ACGUAGGGGGCAAGCGUUAUCCGGAUUUAUUGGGCGUAAAGCGCGCGUAGGCGGCCCGUUAAGUCAGAUGUGAAAACCGGGGGCUUAACCCGCGGACUGCAUUUGAUACUGGCAGGCUUGAGUCUGGUAGAGGAAAGUGGAAUUCCUGGUGUAGCGGUGAAAUGCGCAGAUAUCAGGAGGAACACCAGUGGCGAAGGCGGCUUUCUGGGCCACGACUGACGCUAAGGCGCGAAAGCUAGGGGAGCAAACAGG
This 252-nucleotide ribosomal RNA is filed under the name uncultured bacterium. RNAcentral describes it as "partial 16S ribosomal RNA". It matches the Rfam family "Bacterial small subunit ribosomal RNA", at positions 525 to 776 of the family's 1533-position model. The record is from RNAcentral.